RNAcentral lists this ribosomal RNA (253 nucleotides) under uncultured bacterium. Its description in RNAcentral is "partial 16S ribosomal RNA". It matches the Rfam family "Bacterial small subunit ribosomal RNA", at positions 524 to 776 of the family's 1533-position model. The record is from RNAcentral.
UACGGAGGAUCCAAGCGUUAUCCGGAUUUAUUGGGUUUAAAGGGUGCGUAGGCGGCUUAUUAAGUCAGGGGUGAAAGACGGUGGCUCAACCAUCGCAGUGCCCUUGAUACUGAUGAGCUUGAAUACACUUGAGGUAGGCGGAAUGUGACAAGUAGCGGUGAAAUGCAUAGAUAUGUCACAGAACACCAAUUGCGAAGGCAGCUUACUGGGCCGUGAUUGACGCUGAGGCACGAAAGCGUGGGGAGCAAACAGG